Molecule: ribosomal RNA, 253 nt
Filed under: uncultured bacterium
Lineage: Bacteria
Description: partial 16S ribosomal RNA
Rfam family: Bacterial small subunit ribosomal RNA
Source: RNAcentral
GACGUAGGGGGCGAGCGUUGCCCGGAUUCACUGGGCGUAAAGGGCGCGUAGGCGGCCUGGCAAGUGGAAGGUGAAAUCCCUCGGCUUAACCGAGGAACUGCCUCCCAAACUGCUUGGCUUGAGACCAGGAGAGGUGAGUGGAAUUCCCAGUGUAGCGGUGAAAUGCGUAGAUAUUGGGAGGAACACCAGUGGCGAAGGCGGCUCACUGGACUGGUACUGACGCUGAGGCGCGAAAGCGUGGGGAGCAAACGGG